GGUAGAGCAAUCUGAAACACAGAGCAGUUGUCCAAAGAAUCGAGUUAAGGCCCCCAAAACAGAUAAAAUUAUCUUGUCUUGCUGUGAUUCAGAUUAAACUAAGACUUCUUUUCCUGUUUACUCAAGAUGUAGACACUUGAUGAGAAACUGGUCUGGAGAAAUCUAGGAGCUAUAUUGUCUUUGGACAUCCAUAUUAGAGGAUGAGUAAAUUUGUAAUCCCAUUAAGUAUUUUUUGAGCUUUCCAACAGUUUUAAUUAUUAUUGGGAAAUAAAUCAGAGAAGUCUCUAAAGCAACAAAGAAUUAUUGAGGUUUCGUUUGUUUGGGGAUUUUAAGGUCUAGUACUGUGGUAUUUUUUGAUAAAGCAUCAGCUGUAAUAGCUUUGUAGUACAGUUAUCAAAUUAAAUAAAAAGGGAUGUAAGUAGUCAUAAAAAUUGCUCAUUAAAGCUGAUCGCCUUUUUUUAAAUGCCACCAAAGCUUUGGAGGGUGGAGAAUAACCCAGUUGAAAAUCUACAAGCAAUGCUGUCCACAUCCCAAAUAGACUGGUCAAAAAGCCUUCAUCCCGUCAGUCACUGACAUCAACUUCAUCCAAAUCAGACUCCUAAAAACCCGGCCUAACUUAUGUGUCAUGCAAAGGAUGGCUCUUGGAAAAAUGCAAAGAAGCAGGGGCCGCUAAGGGAGAGAUGUGAAGGUCAAGGAAGCUCUGAGCUCCUGACAGCCGCCCUUCCAGCCUUCUCCUGCCUUCCAUAGAGAGAUGCUAUGGACUCUUGGUCCAGAGACUCAAAUUCAAGGAAAAGAAGAGGCAACAUUUGCAGUGUUGAUCCUUGAGUUGAACAAAGAGUGGUCAGGAGAAGAAACCAACAAGAAAUGUAACCUACCUCCAGAACUCAGGAACUCAG
Molecule: long non-coding RNA, 896 nt
Filed under: Homo sapiens (human)
Lineage: Eukaryota; Metazoa; Chordata; Mammalia; Primates; Hominidae
Description: HSALNT0356622
Source: RNAcentral